CUCAACAGAGGCCUCAAUUUCAUCCCCACGAAAGGCAGAAACAAAAACAUCUGUCAUGAUCCUCAUCAUGGCAGCCCUCCCCUCUCCCUCUUUGUGUGUGUGUUUUGUCAUUUCCCUGUCUGUUACUCCUCCUCCUGUGUCUCUUCCCCUUGUUUGUUUCUUGUGGGUGAAUGUGGGCGGGGUUUUCAAUCAACAGGCAGCACUAGGUGAAGCCAUUCACUAAUCAACCCUCUACUAUAAAGCCUCUGGAUUUCCUCCUACUCAUCACCAGAUUGUACUUCAGUUUUCAGUGAGAUUGCCGUGCAUGCUUCCCGCUCUCGUGCUGAUCGCUUCCCUGUCUGCUGCUGAACCUGCCUGCCUUUGCCUGAGCUCCAGUUACCCUCUGUGUGAGUACGCCGGAGAGAGGGACUGCUCUGCUCUGUACUCACGGCACCAUUACCACAGAGUGAACUCCAAAUAAAAGACUUGUAUUUUCACAA
Long non-coding RNA from Notolabrus celidotus (New Zealand spotty), 479 nucleotides. RefSeq lists it as uncharacterized. Lineage: Eukaryota; Metazoa; Chordata; Actinopteri; Labriformes; Labridae. The transcript is spliced from 2 exons. The record is from RefSeq and is a predicted model, not a curated record.